GACGUAGGGCGCGAGCGUUGUCCGGAUUUAUUAGGCGUAAAGAGCUCGUAGGCGGCUUGUCGCGUCGUCCGUGAAAACUUGGGGCUCAACCCCAAGCUUGCGGUCGAUACGGGCAGGCUAGAGUUCGGUAGGGGAGACUGGAAUUCCUGGUGUAGCGGUGAAAUGCGCAGAUAUCAGGAGGAACACCAACGGCGAAGGCAGCUCUCUGGGACGUUACUGACGCUGAGACGCGAAAGCGUGGGGAGCAAACAGG
RNAcentral lists this ribosomal RNA (253 nucleotides) under uncultured bacterium. Its description in RNAcentral is "partial 16S ribosomal RNA". It matches the Rfam family "Bacterial small subunit ribosomal RNA", at positions 524 to 776 of the family's 1533-position model. The record is from RNAcentral.